GCCAGGCGCGGUGGCUCACGCCUGUAAUCCCAACACUUUGGGAGGCCGAGGCGGGUGGAUCACCUGAGGCCAGGAGUUUGAGACCAGCCUGGCCAACAUGGUGAAACCCUGCCUCUA
RNAcentral lists this non-coding RNA (117 nucleotides) under Macaca nemestrina (pig-tailed macaque). The record is from Rfam by way of RNAcentral. Lineage: Eukaryota; Metazoa; Chordata; Mammalia; Primates; Cercopithecidae.